RNAcentral lists this ribosomal RNA (253 nucleotides) under uncultured bacterium. RNAcentral's name for it is "partial 16S ribosomal RNA". It matches the Rfam family "Archaeal small subunit ribosomal RNA", at positions 474 to 727 of the family's 1478-position model. The record is from RNAcentral.
CACCAGCACCCCGAGUGGUCGGGACGAUUAUUGGGCCUAAAGCAUCCGUAGCCGGUUCUACAAGUCUUCCGUUAAAUCCACCUGCUUAACAGAUGGGCUGCGGAGGAUACUAUAGAGCUAGGAGGCGGGAGAGGCAAGCGGUACUUAGUGGGUAGGGGUAAAAUCCGUUGAUCCAUUGAAGACCACCAGUGGCGAAGGCGGCUUGCCAGUACGCACUCGACGGUGAGGGAUGAAAGCUGGGGGAGCAAACCGG